Rattus norvegicus (Norway rat) is the source of this 5839-nucleotide non-coding RNA. The record is from RefSeq and is a predicted model, not a curated record. Lineage: Eukaryota; Metazoa; Chordata; Mammalia; Rodentia; Muridae.
CUAGCAACAGUGACCUAGCAACAACUUAUAGCAUCACCGGCUGCCAGGUACAAGGCAGGAGCUUCAGUUUAUAAGGAAACUGCUCACUACCCCACCCAAUGUCUCCUCCUUUACUCUCUCUUUCUCUGUUCCUACAUGUUCCUGGAUGGCCUCAUCCUCCUUUCUCUUCUCUUUCUGUCCCCUCUUUUUUCUGCCUCUACCCCUUCCAGCGCCCCUCCCCCCAACAAAUCUUUAUACUAGGCCUGUUGAAUGGUGUGAUUCCUCAGGGGGAUACCUUGCCUGGGCUCACCAGGUAUCCUGCCACCACCACCGCAUAAUGCAGUAGCAUUAUGAAAUAUAACACUGAGGUGAUUUGAAUAUGCUUGGCCUAGGGAGUGGCACUAUUAGGAGGUAUGGCCUUGUUGGAGGAAGUGUGUCACUGUGGGGGUGGACAAUGAGACCCUUCUCAUAGCUGCCUGGGAGACAGUUUCUCCUGGAUGCAGUCAGACCAAGAUGCAGAACUCUAAGGUCCUUCUUCAAUACCAUGUCUGAAAGGAUGCUGCCAAACUACCUACCAUGAUGAUAAUGGACUGAACCUCUGAAACUCUGCAGAAGGAUUCGUGUGUCCCCGCGUGUUCUUGCUGGCGAGAUAGCGUGGGACAUCUGGUGCCGAAACCCGGAAGAAAACGCCACACCAUCACCAGGCGCCGAGGAGGGGUCCUCCAUCCGCGGAGAGAAUCCAGAACUGCAGUGUUUUAGGGUAAGCUCUGAAAGAUAUGUUUGGUCUUGAUCUGUUUCACUUCUCUCCCCCGCUAGAAGAUGCGGCGGAAGUUUUUGUUAUCGUUUUAGCAGCCUUCAUGCUUUCUCUUUUGGUUUUUGAUUUUGUGGCUACUGCUAGGCAACGUCAGAGGUCGUGCCUAGAAGAUGGGAGCUGCCCAACUGUAAUAGCAGGACAGAGUGUGCUAGGGGAGUUACAAGGCAGCAUGUCAGAAACAGAGUGGGAUAAAAGAUUAAAGAGCUCAAAGAGAAAAGAUAAAUAUAAGAAAAAAGACCCUCCCAAAGACUUCAGAUUUGAGGGAACGAGAGGUUGUGGAAAGAACGCCCUGGGAGAGAAACAGAGAAAGGAGAAAAAAGUUUUGAAAAGGAGAAGCCUUUAUCCGGUAAAUUAGUUAGAGGCUUUAGAGCUUGAUAGCUCAGAAACAGACGAGCUUGGCUCCUCUGAGGAAGAGGAUUUAGAAGAUGAGGCAGCUCGCUAUGAAAAAGAAAGAUAUGGGCCUAGGUGGAGAGCCACUGUGAAGAAACCGAAAGUUAUGGAUCCUUUGUGGACAAGGCUGGUAAUUUUGUUUAAACUUCACAGAGUCAUACUGAUCAGAUUUGAUAGAGGUAGACCACCUGAAAAUAUAUUCAGGAGAAUCAAACAAAAGGACAUCUCAAUGCCCAUGCAUAGCUUGAUGGAGUUAAUGUAAUUGGGUUGUGAAUGGAAAUAUUCAGGACUGUGUUUCACUUCCAUACCAUUUGUGAAUGUCAGUUGUGCUGCUCAGAUAUCCCAUAAUAUAUCUCAGUAUCUUACAGGAAUUUGGUUUCAACACGUUGAUGGACUAGUCCAGGAAUUGAGACAAUCCAUCGUCCAUAUCAACUCCACUCGAGUGGAUGGUCACCGUGGAAGUGGUGGGAAAGGGGAAAUCCUACCUCUCUGCUGACUCCUAUUGGAAUCUGGGUUCCUUUCGUGGAACACCAUCUAGUUUUUCCUCUUUGUCUAUUGUCUGUCCUUGGUGCACCAAGCUGUCCAUGUAUGUCAGUUUAUGUCUGUGGUUUUUGUUUCUUGUUGCUUAAAUGUUUUAUGUUUCAUGUUCAAACGAGAAAAUGGUAAAAACUUUAUCUGCCAAUCGUUCACACCUUGAUUUGGUUUUAACUCGUUUAAAAAAAGGAACAAAUGAAUAAAAAAGCAGUUUCAAUCAGUCCUUGGAACCCUGUACCUGUAGCCAGGUGUCUAGGUCAGCUGGAGAAGCUGCCCAGGGGUGAGCGUCUACAUGAGUUGAUUAUUAGACUCAACAGGUGACAAGGUGCUUCUCUUAAAAUCAUAGCUAAAAAGGUAAAAAUGGUGCUUGGUCUAAAUAUUAAAGAUAUGUGUAGCUACUUCAAUUUUGUUUCUCAUUGGUUUUAAAUGUAUAAAUAUGCUCUACAUGCCUUGGUUAUGGACUAUUGGCUUUUAAGUUAUUGGAUAUGGUUAAAAAGGUAUAACAUUGGUAACAGAAAGUUGACAUAAAACUGGUAAUUUGGAAAAAGUCAUUCUAGACAACAUGUGGCAUGAGCCAACCUAGGGAAACAGGUCUAAAUUGAGAUAAUAUUUUUAUGGAAUUCUUAUUCUAGAAACCAGGCCUCUAAAAGAAUUUAGGACAACGUCUCUUUGUUGAGGUAUUGGAGACCGCACCAUCGUGCGUUCACAUGUAGGAAUUGGCAGUCAAACUUUGUAGCAUGAAGGAUAGACUCGGUGUUUUAGAGACUAGAUUUUAGAGGCUAACUUGUUGGAGGUUGAGUUUUGCUUUCCAAAGUUGUGGUUUACCCUAAAGUUAUCUGUAUUUUGAUACUAAUUCUACUGCCCCAAGGACAGUACUCAGAACUCAGGUGACUUUCCAAAGUUGUGGCUGUGCUCUGGUGUUACAAGGAGAACUGAAAGAUUGUGAUUAAGGAUUGCCAGUGUUACAUUGACUAACUCAAACCUAUUUGUAAUUAAGAAAAAUCAAACAGGUAGAGAUUGUUACAGGAUUUAUAAAGGAUUGAUGAGGUUUUGGAACUUGUGAGAGCGUUACAGCUUGUUUGCUUACUCCAACUGCCAUUUCAAGAUAGAUUUAGAGGAUUGAUUUUGAGUUUUCAUUUCAUGAGCUUGCUUAUAAUUUUAGAGAGCCCAUAAAGUGAUAUCAUUAAAAAUUUUAUAAAAGAAUGGCUAACAGCCUUGUAUUAUGUAAUUUUGUUGCUUCUUCAAUGUAAGAAGUUAGAACUUUGAAUCUUUCAGUGUAUAUGGAAAAUUUUACUACAAACCUUUGCUCUCAAAAUGAGCUUUAAUAUUUGGGGAGUAGCUAUUGCUCCAGAAAAGAUUCAGUAUUCAUUUUUAAUAUUUAAAACUAAUUUUAAGCUUCUAAGGAUAUGUUAAUUGCCAAAGUACCUCACCUUACCAGAGGACUUAACUUUGUUAUCCACAUUGGAGAUAAAGCUUCAGUUGUGUUAAUACAAAAUUGUAGGCUAGAAUCACGGAAGUAUUUUAAAAAGAAACCUGGUAAAACAUAUCUUAUUCCAAACAACAGGUAAUUGGUUAUUACAAAAUACUGAUAUUUGGCCUAUUACAUAUACAAAUUUUUCAGACAAAAUUGAUAAUUUUACUCUUUACAUGCUUUUGUAUUUACUGUAAAUUUGGACAUGCUACCCAUAGAAAAUGCGCUUAGUGUAUUUAUAGGUGGUUCAUCUAAUGAAAAGGCUACAUAUAUGAUUAGAUCACUUGUUUAUUCUCUUGAGUUUCUGUUGCUUCAACACAGAUUAUUAAAUUCCGUGCUUUAGCCACUGUUUUUAAAUCAAGCUUUCAAUUCACAUACUGAUAACCAAUGUGUGGCUUGUGGUUUACAAUUGAUUUCAAUUACUUAAUGCUUUACUAGAGACAAGUUUUCUACAUGAAAUCAGUGAGUGAUGAUUUCAGUGUGAAUUGUCUAACAACUCACUCUCCUUUCAGUGCUCUGGCUCAGACAACUAUACAAAACCAUAGAAAAUGGUAAUGGAGUUGAUAUAAAAAGAAGAAGACUCCUUUGCUUACUUUCAAUUCCCAGCCUCGCCCUGCCAGCUCAGGGAUAUCUAGUACAACUGAAUCUAGACAAUAUUUACAGGAUUUGGCAUUUCUAAUUAAUGCUUAUGUUUAGGUAAAUAAAGUUUGUGAGGUGCUAGAGAGAUGGCUUAGUGGUUAAGAACACUAAGUACUGUUCCUUUAUAGGACAUUUAAGAACUCAAACUAGAUUGCCUGGGCUCCUUAACAAGGGAGGGCAAUGAUACCAGACAGAUUAUAGGCCUUACAUAGGAACAAUUAGUCAAAAAAUCUCAUUCUUUCUAAUAUUUUAAUAAUUAAAGAGGGGGAGUUAUCCCUGUAUGCUAAAUAAUGCUCCUUUUAUUUCAAUUUUAAAAUUUGGAUGCCAAGGAACCCUUGAGAGUUUAUGGCACCCUACAACUAGACAUACUUCUGCCUAGGUGAAAUAGGAAGAUCCACAUAUUGGCAUGAUCCUGUUCAGAUAUUUUAUAUGGGGAAGAGGGAAUCUUUGUGUUUUUUCUACAGGAUGCUACAAGAGUAUGCCAGCUACCAGAAGUGGUUGGUGAGACUCGUUGAUCCUGGUUGCAUGAAGAUUCAGCUCUCGUGAUUCGGGUCCCUAGAGUCAUUCCUCUGCCCUGAGAGGAAGAUGGCAGAUUCCCCCUCAUCGUUUGUCAUCACAGAGAUUUUGGCGUUGCUGCAGUCAGUGUUACUGCUGCGUGUGUCCCGUCCCACUGUGGCCUAUGCUCAGACCCUCUGUGCACUGCUGCUGUCUAGAGAAGACUGGACUCCAGCUGUUAUUGCUGCCCCCCUCAUUCGCCUGGUGACUCUUGCUGCCUUAACUGAUGUUGUCAUUUUGCAGUCUAUAGCUUCACAGGAAUGCCACCUGCGUAAAGCUGCUGUGGACUGGGGAACUCUGCCCUUGUUAUGCAGAUCUCAGACAUGGUUCCAUUGCCUGCUGGUUGUUCCAGAAAAGAUUGGCUGAUCCCGAACUGUCCUGGGAAAGACCUUGUUAUUUUCGCUGCUAUUGUAGCAGCCAUUUACUGCUAUAGCCAUUGUGUCUGCAGUGUCUGGAGUUACCCUCCCCCCAAUCUAUUGUUAGGCAAGCACAGUGGGUGAACUUUCUGGAGUAGUUGCUAGAACCAGAUGAGGUGCCCACUACUUAUCGGGAGUGGCUCUGUUUGGUGCAGCCCUAUGCUGUGGAUUAGUGUUCAUGCUAUGGUUGGUCUGCAAACUCAGAUCUCAACAGAAACGUGACAAGGUCGUUAUCACUCAAGCACUUGUGGCCAUUGAACAAGGGGCCUCCCCUGGAAUUUGGUUAUCUAUGCUCAGGAAUUAGUCGGUAUCUGAGUUCUCUGCUCUUGUACCCCAUGGAUCUGUGGAUCCAUUACACUGGGAUGAGAGAGACUCAGUGAUUCUUUGAUCAGCCCUUCUACAUCUCUGAGGUUUCCUCAUUGCAUGCGAUAGGGUGAUCAUGAUUUCCCCACUAACUCAUUUUCUGGCUGGCCUCUUUUAUAGAGUUUGCCCUAGGUCGUUUAACAGUUACUGUCACACAGCACUGCGGUAUCCAGAGACGGGCAACUUUCCUCAUGCACAGACCAAUCUAAGACAUGGGGCCCGGUGGCGAUAGGGUUACCCUACGACGGAUAAGGCUGUGACAUAGAGGAAUGACCUAAGACAGGAGCCACAGCAGAUGGACGUAACUGCAGGGACCUAGACCAGCCUCAUAUUAGUAAAACAAUAAGGGGGAGAUGUGGAGAGCCGCAAUAACAUUCGCUACCACAAGAUGGCACUGGCUUCCACUGUGCCCCACGUGGAAAGCCGGGAUAGCUUUUGCCAUUACAAGAUGGCGCUGGUCUCCGCCGCGCCAGCCGACUUCCUUUCAGGAAGUUAACUGUGUGCGCAUGUGCAAGAGUGCCUUCGUGCCAGGUCUUUGCCCACUCCUGGGUGUGCCUAUGAGAUCACGGGUAAACAACCAAUCAGGUGUGGAUGCGCCGCGCUAGGGUGUAUAUAAGCCGCGCCAUGCUGGUGCCCCGGGCCCUCUCUUUAAGAUUCAAUAAACGUUUAGCUGCAGAA